This 2386-nucleotide unclassified non-coding RNA is filed under the name Hevea brasiliensis (rubber tree). The record is from RNAcentral. Lineage: Eukaryota; Viridiplantae; Streptophyta; Magnoliopsida; Malpighiales; Euphorbiaceae.
AAGAUAUGGGUCAUGUGGAAAUCAACGCCGCUGAAAUUCAACAUUCUGGCCCUUUUUGAGACGAUUUGUUCGUCUUCUUCGAUGAUAUACUCAUCUAUAGCAACACUUGGUCAGAUCAUCUUCAUCACCUAGAACUUGUCUUGCUCACAUUGCGGCAACAUCAAUUUACUGCUAACAAAAACAAAAUGUUCUCUGGAUCGUCGUACUAUUGAAUAUUUGGGGCAUGUUAUUUCCCAGUCUGGAGUUGCCAUGGAUCCAACCAAAAUUUCAGCAGUUGUUAGAUGGCCUACUCCAAAAACUGUUAGAGCAGUUCGUGGAUUUUUGGGAUUGACAGGCUAUCACCACCGAUUUAUUCAAGGGUAUGGCAAGAUAGCCAAGCCACAUACUGCCCUCACUACUAAGGAAGCACAACAAAAUUUUUUUUGGUCUAAUGAAGCUCAAAAUGCUUUUGAUACACUCGAGCAAACUAUGGUCUCAACUCCUCUUCUUCUUUCGCCUAAUUUUCAAAAAUCUUUCGAAAUUGAGUGCGAUGCUUCAGGUGCAGGUGUGGGUGCAGUACUUAUGCAGGAAGGGCGACCUAUGGCCUAUUUCAGUAAAUCUCUAACCCCUCAGACCUUAUCUCUCUCAGCUUAUGAAAAAGAGUUAAUGGCAUUGGUGUUAGCUAUUCAUCAUUGGCGACCCUAUCUUCUCGGCAAGAAAUUUCUAGUUUGAACUGAUCAAAGAAGCCUCAAACACUUAUUAGAACAACAGAUUGUUACCACUGCACAGCAAUGUUGGCUCUCUGAAUUACUGGGUUAUCGUUUCAACAUUGAAUAUGAGCCUUGAAAAAGCAAUACAGAAGCUGAUGCCUUAUCUAGGCGUAUGGAAGAUGAGUCACUUCAACUUUCAGCCAUGAGCCGUCCUCAAAGGAUGGAUUUGGAUAAUUUAGCAGAGGAAGUUCAAGCUUAUCCAUAUUUGAGACCUAUUCUUGUUGCUCUUCAUCCAGAUCCUAAUGCUCACCCUCCUUUCUCUAUCAUUCAAGAGAAUUUAUUUUACAAAGGGCGAUUGGUGGUGCCAACUAAUUCUCCUUGGAUUCCAUGAUUGAUGACAGAAUUCCAUUCUACUCCUACAGGGGGGCAUUCAGGUGCUUUUCGCACUCAUAGAAGGAUAGCUUCAGGCUUAUAUUGGAAGGGCAUGAUGAAAUCUAUUCGAAAAUUUGUUGCUUCCUGCCUUACUUGCCAACGACAUAAAUAUGAAGUCUUAUCACCGGUUGGUCUCCUCCAACCAUUGCCAAUUCCACAAGGGAUAUGGAAGGAUCUUUCACUUGACUUCAUAACUAGAUUACCUAAAUCUCAUGGCAUGAAUUGUAUUUUGGUACUGGUUGAUCGUCUCUCCAAAUAUGGACUUUGCCUCUUUGCCAUCCUUUUACAGCCUGUAGUGUUACUGAAUUGUUUGUUCAGGAAAUUGUAAAACUCCAUGGCAUUCCUCGAUCAUUAGUUAGUGAUUGCGAUCCCAUUUUUAUUAGUCAUUUUUGGAUUGAAAUUUUCAGAUUAAUGGGGACUCAACUUCGAAUGAGUUCAGCUUAUCAUCCCAAACUGACGGUCAAACAGAAGACUUAAAUAGAAGUGUUGAGCAAUACCUUCGUUGUUUUGCAUCUGAACAGUCCAAAAUUUGGGUUAAUUGGUUACAUUGGGCUAAAAACUAGUACAACACCAGCUUUCAAGGGGCAGCCAAACAAACACCAUAUCAGCUUGUCUAUGGUAAACAACACCUACUCUACUAAGGUUUUUACUGGGAGAAACUAGAGUGGAAGUUGUCUCUAAUGCCUUGCUUGAUAGAGAUGAGAUAUUAAAGCAAUUGAAAUUUAAUAUUGAGUAAGCUCAGCACCAUAUGGCCAAACAAGCUAACGCCAAGAGGAGGAAUGUCGCUUAUCAAAUUGGGGACAAAGUCUUCCCAAAACUUCAACCUUACAAGCAGCAAACAAUUCACUCUUAGGCUAGUCCAAAGUUAGCACCUCGCUUUUAUGGGCCCUUUUGACAAGAUAGGUGAGGUAGCUUAUCGUCUUCAACUUCCUUCUACUGCUAAAAUACAUCCUGUAUUCCAUGUGUCUCAACUGAAGAAGGUUGUGGGAAAUCAUGAUAUUAUACCAUCCCUCCCUACUGAAAUGGUUAUUGAGGAACCUCUUCCCACUCUUCCUAAAGCUAUAAUAGCACGACGGACUGUUGCAAGGACGGGAACUCAAUUCCAUAAUUGUUGAUUCAAUGGCAAGGGCACCCACUUGAUGAAGCUACUUGGUUGGAUGAAUCUGACUUUCAAGGUCAAUUUCCAGAUUUUAGCCUUGAGGAAAAGGCUGCUAUUUCAGGAGGUGAUAAUGAUGCAGAAGAAUUUCCACCUGAGCCUAAAGGAA